AGUUCAGCCGUGGGCAUAGCAAAUACUGAUUUUUCAUCUUUCCUCUACUGCCUACCUUCAAAUCUCCAAAGGCGCUUGUCAAUAUGAUCAGCAACCCUGUUAACUCCACUGUCCCAAUUGCCGCUGAGGUUUUCAAGAAGGCUGGAACCUAUGAUGAAAAGAGACUCUUUGGAGUGACCACACUUGAUGUUGUUAGGGCAAAGACUUUCUAUGCAGGAAAAGCUAAAGUUAAUGUUGCUGGUAUGCAUCUUAGUGUACUUCCUGGUUAAGAAUUGCUAUUAUUUUAUUUUACUUACACCAUAAACCGCUGAGGUGUUCAAGAAGGCUGGAACCUAUGAUGAAAAGAGACUCUUUGGAGUGACCACACUUGAUGUUGUUAGGGCAAAGACUUUCUAUGCAGGAAAAGCUAAAGUUAAUGUUGCUGGUAUGCAUCUUAGUGUACUUCCUGGUUAAGAAUUGCUAUUAUUUUAUUUUACUUACACCAUAAAUUCAUGUCAAGUUCUCUCCCG
RNAcentral lists this long non-coding RNA (509 nucleotides) under Nicotiana benthamiana. RNAcentral's name for it is "long non-coding RNA (NBEN_LNC016203)". The record is from RNAcentral. Lineage: Eukaryota; Viridiplantae; Streptophyta; Magnoliopsida; Solanales; Solanaceae.